GCCGAUGUGGCGGAAUGGUAGACGCAACGGACUUAAAAUCCGUUGGGGUGUAAACCCCGUGCCGGUUCAAGUCCGGCCAUCGGUA
RNAcentral lists this transfer RNA (85 nucleotides) under Bacteroidota bacterium. Its description in RNAcentral is "tRNA-Leu". It matches the Rfam family "tRNA". From Rfam's summary of the family: Transfer RNA (tRNA) molecules are approximately 80 nucleotides in length. Their secondary structure includes four short double-helical elements and three loops (D, anti-codon, and T loops). Lineage: Bacteria; Pseudomonadati; Bacteroidota. The record is from RNAcentral.